AAGAAUGUAUUUUUAGGGAUAAUUUCUAUAGUUUGUAAUUAGAGGAGUGUAGCUGAAAGUGGUUGGUGGUGUUAACCACAAGGAGGAGUGAUAGUGUUCUCUUCAGAGUGUGAAAUGAGCAAACAGUAUUGCUUUAAUGCAGCUGCUGUCUGCUAUUGAUGAUGGUUUUCUUUCCUAUGAGAAAGUUAGAGGAAGAGAGCACAGACUGAGUGGU
Molecule: small nucleolar RNA, 214 nt
Organism: Pelodiscus sinensis (Chinese soft-shelled turtle)
Lineage: Eukaryota; Metazoa; Chordata; Testudines; Trionychidae
Rfam family: Small nucleolar RNA U3
About the family: Small nucleolar RNAs (snoRNAs) are involved in the processing and modification of rRNA in the nucleolus. There are two main classes of snoRNAs: the box C/D class, and the box H/ACA class.
Source: Rfam